RNAcentral lists this ribosomal RNA (379 nucleotides) under uncultured bacterium. RNAcentral describes it as "bacterial SSU rRNA". It matches the Rfam family "Bacterial small subunit ribosomal RNA", at positions 29 to 433 of the family's 1533-position model. The record is from RNAcentral.
AGCGAACGCUGGCGGCAGGCUUAACACAUGCAAGUCGAACGGGCAUAGCAAUAUGUCAGUGGCAGACGGGUGAGUAACGCGUGGGAACAUACCUCUUGGUUCGGAACAACACAGGGAAACUUGUGCUAAUACCGGAUAAGCCCUUACGGGGAAAGAUUUAUCGCCGAGAGAUUGGCCCGCGUCUGAUUAGCUAGUUGGUGUGGUAAAGGCGCACCAAGGCGACGAUCAGUAGCUGGUCUGAGAGGAUGAUCAGCCACAUUGGGACUGAGACACGGCCCAAACUCCUACGGGAGGCAGCAGUGGGGAAUAUUGGACAAUGGGCGCAAGCCUGAUCCAGCCAUGCCGCGUGAGUGAUGAAGGCCCUAGGGUUGUAAAGCUC